CUUACUUAGGGAUCUGUCUGACUCCCAAUUCCCAAGGACUGACAAUUGACAGAGCACAGGCGAUAUGAGACCUACAGCCUCCCACUUCUGCGGAACAGAUCUUGUCCUUUCUAGGGCUGGUAGGAUUCUUCCACCAUUGGGUCCCAAAUUUUGCUCUCCUAGCUAAGCCUCUAUACCAGGCCGCUAAAGAAACACCAAUAGACCCCUCUUUUCACCCUCCCUCGUUCCCCAGGGUUUUUCUAAGCUCCGGGAUGCCCUUCUGGCAUCUCCCCUCCUCUCUCUCCCGGACAUCUCUAAGCCUUUCCAACUAUUUACUGAUGAGAAACAGGGAAUAGCCAUGGGGGUCCUCACCCAGCCCCUAGGGCCAGCCUUCACCCCAGUAGCCUACCUGUCCAGACAGCUUGAUCCCACAGUUCGGGGAUGGCAGCCCUGACUCUGGGCUCUGGCUGCAGCAGCUGCUCUCACCAAGGAGGCCCAGAAGAUCUGCCUCCAGCAACCCUUACUGGUCUUCUCCGCCCAUAGAGUACAGGAUCUUUUGUCCCACUGAUCCUUAUCUCUCCUUGCCCCCUCUCUCAUGCAGGAACUCCAUCUCCUGCUCCUUGAGAGUCCUGACAUCUCCCUAACCCAGUCCCCAGCCCUGAACCCAGCCACUCUCCUUCCUGCUGCCUCCACCCAACGGAUGGCAAUGCACUCCUGCCCCGAGGUCGUCGAGGCUCUCACUCAACCUCAGGAGGGACUCUCAGAUAUCCCUCUCUCUAAUCCUGACUUAACUCUGUUUGAAGCUCGUGUCUAGACCCCCAAGGACGUCGGAAAGCAUCCUAUGCAGUAGUAAUGCUCGAGUGGACCCUGGAGAAGGCCCGGCUCCCGGAGGGUACCACCUCUCAAAAGGCUGAGCUUAUUGCACUGACCAGGGCCCUGCAUCUGGCCAAAGGGAGGAGGGUAAACAUAUAUACAGACUCUAACUAUGCCUUUCUGAUAGCCCAUUGCCACGUGGUUAUUUGGAGGGAGAGGGGCUUUCUCCACUAAAGGCUCACCUAUUAUUAAUGCUAGACUCAUAACCCGCUUACUUGAUGCCUUACAGCUUCCCUCCCAGGUAGCCAUCGUGCACUGCCAAGGCCAUCAGACUGACUCCUUGAUGGUUUCGCAGGGAAACACCAGAGCAGACGCGGUGGCCAGAGGCUUAACUCAGGGUGAAGGGUCCCCAGCCCUGGUCCUGUUCCUUUCCCUUCCCUCCAUUACCCCUCAGUAUACAGAAGAAAAGAAUAAACUCCUACAACGGGGAGGCUCUUCUGGUCCUGAGGGAUGGAUCUUCAUAAAUAACAAGAUCGCCCUUCCCAAGGCUCAGGUAGGGACCAUUGCCCAGCAGGUCCACCAGUCUUGCACACUGGACCGCUGGCGCUUUGGAGGUUCCUAGAACCCCUCUUCACCUCGCCCACACUGCGAGAGGCAGUCACGAGUGCCUGCUCCUCUUGCUCCACGUGUGCAGCUGUCUCACCCCAGGAAUGCGCCCCAACUUUCCUACCCAUCAAAUGAGGGGACACCUCCCAGGACAGGACUGGCAGGUAGACUUCACCCAUAUGCCUCCCCACAAGAAGACCAAAUAUCUGCUCACCAUGGUAGACAUGCUGACAGGGUGGGUAGAGGCCUUCCCUACCCGCAAGGAAACUGCUGAGGUUGUGGCCGAGACCCUAAUAACACAUAUAAUCCCUAGGUUCGGGCUCCCCAACUCCAUACAAUCAGACAAUGGCCCAGCUUUUAUAUCAAGGGUCAUUCAGCAGGUUGGUACCUCACUUGGCAUCUCCUGGAAACUGCUCAUACACUACAGCCCACAAUCAUCAGGUAAGGUUGAGAGGGCCAAUGGCCUCCUUAAAGACCAUCUAACAAAACUCUCUAGAAAUUCGCAGCUCCUGGCCGGAUCUCCUGCCCAUGGCCCUGACCAGAAUCCGGGCUACACCAAGGAACCCCACCUUCUUAAACCCUUUUGAACUCCUAUUUGGGAGACCCUUCUUGCUCAACCAUUGUCUCCCUACUGACCCUCCUCUUCUGGCUACUUAUCUUCCAUACCUGUCUCCUACUCAGGCAGCUGCUCCGGGAACAUGCUGACAGGUUUCUGCCCAGGCCAGAACCAGCUGACCAAGGCUCCUGAGUACCAGCCCUCCAGCCAGGGGACUCAGUCCUCCUUAAGAAUCUACAUCUGAAGGCCUUGGAGCCCAGGUGGACGGGACCUCACACAGUCAUCCUUACAACCCCCACCACAGCCAAACUACUUGGUGAUCCAUUGUGGCAUCACCUCUUCAGACUCAAGAGGACCCCGGAGCAGCAUGACUUCUAUAAAUGUGAGGUGUUGGGCCCCACUAAGGUUCGCCUUAGUGGCCCUCCCUCUCCUCCUUCUCCUCCCAGCCUUGGGCAACCUACACUCACCCCCCCACCUGCUUAUGUGUGGAGGUUCAAGGUCCGUGAAACCUAUGACCAGGACAGCACACAAGUCACCGGCAGCGGAACCCGGACAGGUGUAAUCAAGAAGUCAACACCUAUGGGGGUUUCCGCUGGUCAGGUUGUGUCAUCCAUGAUGCCUACAAAGAGGUCAGGUCUGGCCCCUUUCUCUGGAAGGACGGGACCUUCAACAUCAGGGUCCGGGAUCCCUGGGACCAGCGAUGGAUUGCGGGCGUUAUGGGAAAACUGUAUUGGAAUGGUUGGAGCCCCACCCCUUCAGGGACCAUCUACAUCUCCCGGGAUAUGUCAUGGCCCAGGAGGCCCAAAUCCAGUUCUCCAAUAGCAUCCUACAGGCUGAACAGUCCCUUAAAGGGAAGCUGCCUGAUUCCCCCUAGGUAGAAGUCCUGUCUUCUUGGCUCCAACUU
This is a long non-coding RNA of Pipistrellus kuhlii (Kuhl's pipistrelle), 2858 nucleotides long. RefSeq lists it as uncharacterized. Lineage: Eukaryota; Metazoa; Chordata; Mammalia; Chiroptera; Vespertilionidae. The transcript has 3 exons. The record is from RefSeq and is a predicted model, not a curated record.